This 270-nucleotide unclassified non-coding RNA is filed under the name uncultured fungus. RNAcentral describes it as "sequence contains ITS1, 5.8S rRNA gene". Lineage: Eukaryota; Fungi. The record is from RNAcentral.
GUAUUAAAUUAAAAGGCAAAGCCUUAUCAAUGACAUUCUUUGACAUACAGUGUGUAUAAAAAGACAUAGACCCAGAAAUGCAAGGAAAGCCGACUCAUGCAAGCACAGCAGUCCUCAAAACCGAGUUCAAAACUCGAGGGAUAUCCAGGGUCUACAAAGGGUGCACAGGUGGUCGAAAAGGUGGAAAGGUGUGCACAUAUCCCGAGGGAUCAGCAACAACCCAACCAAGUUUAUUCAAUAAUGAUCCUUCCGCAGGUUCACCUACGGAAA